UAAGGAAUAUUGGUCAAUGGACGCAAGUCUGAACCAGCCAUGCCGCGUGGAGGAUGAAGGUCCUCUGGAUUGUAAACUUCUUUUAUCUGGGAAGAAAUCCAUAUUUUCUAAUGUGGUUGACGGUACCAGAUGAAUAAGCACCGGCUAACUCCGUGCCAGCAGCCGCGGUAAUACGGAGGGUGCAAGCGUUAUCCGGAUUCACUGGGUUUAAAGGGUGCGUAGGCGGGCAGUUAAGUCAGUGGUGAAAUCUCUGGGCUUAACCCAGAAACUGCCGUUGAUACUAUCUGUCUUGAAUAUCAUGGAGGUAAGCGGAAUAUGUCAUGUAGCGGUGAAAUGCUUAGAUAUGACAUAGAACACCGAUAGCGAAGGCAGCUUACUACAUGUUCAUUGACGCUGAGGCACGAAAGCGUGGGGAGCAAACAGG
RNAcentral lists this ribosomal RNA (424 nucleotides) under uncultured bacterium. RNAcentral describes it as "bacterial SSU rRNA". It matches the Rfam family "Bacterial small subunit ribosomal RNA", at positions 355 to 776 of the family's 1533-position model. The record is from RNAcentral.